CGCGCACUCACACCGCGCGCACGUAACUCGCACCGCGACCAUGUCUCUGUAAACGAUUCCGAACCGAGACUCCAAACCCAGCGCGAUGACCCCAUAACAUGUCACAAUCGCACCGCUGUGCCCGGUUCACCCCAGCGCAGCAUGUGACGGAUCUGACGUGAUGCAACUAGUAAUGUUAAACUUCCUAAUCAUGUUCGACGUGGUGUUCAUAUUCUUCCUGUUCUUGAUCGCGGUGACGUGUGUGAUGAACUAUAUGCCGGGUCGCAAGCGGCAGGAGGCGACGGCAGAGGAGGUAGACAGUGACGUCAUCCCACCGCCUCCUCUCUUCGAUGACGACGAGCCGUCGACGAGUCGGGACACGUACGUGGUGAUACCGCCACCGAUGGACAGCGCGAGGGCUAAAGACGGAUGCCCGAUACACGUCGUUUAGCAUAAGCACUGAUAAUGUAUCAACGUAGGAGUUUAUUACGAAGAAGCCUUAUGAGAAUGUAGGUGUCGAAAAUUAAAAGAUGUAGACAUUUUUUACCAUUUAGUCGAGUUUUCUUGUUACGUUAAGACUAUAAACGGUGGAAUAUGGGGACUCAAGUGAAGGUACGUACUAAUGGAAUUAGGGUGGAUGCGUUAUCACAGUUAGGUAUCAAAAUAAGGAUGUUAACUUAUUAAUAGAUUAAUAGCAGCUACAAUGAUUGCCAUGUUCAGUUGAGUUUACUGUGAUUUUGAUUUCGGCCUAAUUUAUUAUACUUGAUUAGUAUUUUUAUUGUAAAACCAACCAGCACUAAAACAAGACACUAUGUUAUAUUGUGAAAAUAGCUAGCAGUUACAGUUGAAGCUCAUGAUACAGAUUAAUAUCCUCUGUACUCUUAAAUGGAGUGCGCAUGUAGGGGAGACUGGCCCAAAGCGGGCACCUUAAGGUAAAGUAGGAAAA
Long non-coding RNA from Ostrinia furnacalis (Asian corn borer), 925 nucleotides. RefSeq lists it as uncharacterized. The record is from RefSeq and is a predicted model, not a curated record. The transcript has 3 exons. Lineage: Eukaryota; Metazoa; Arthropoda; Insecta; Lepidoptera; Crambidae.